RNAcentral lists this ribosomal RNA (253 nucleotides) under uncultured bacterium. RNAcentral describes it as "partial 16S ribosomal RNA". It matches the Rfam family "Bacterial small subunit ribosomal RNA", at positions 524 to 776 of the family's 1533-position model. The record is from RNAcentral.
GACAGAGGUGCCAAGCGUUAGGCGGAAUCACUGGGCUUAAAGCGUGUGUAGGCGGACUUGUAAGUACCUUGUGAAAUCCCACGGCUCAACCGUGGAACUGCUUGGUAUACUGCUUGUCUUGAGCCACUUAGGGGCUACCGGAACAAAUGGUGGAGCGGUGAAGUGCGUAGAUAUCAUCAGGAAUACCGGAGGCGAAGGCGGCUCACUGGGGGUCUUCUGACGCUGAGGAACGAAAGCCAGGGGAGCGAACGGG